CUGUGUGAAGGCUGCCAAAGCAGCAGCAGAAAACUCGCCAGGCUGCAGCGCGUCUGCCGCGUCUGCCGCGUCUGCCGCUUGGGCCGCAUCUGCCGCGUCUGCCGCGUCUGCCACGUCUGCCGCUUGGGCCGCUUGCUCACAAGGGCGACUGGAGGAGGAUGAGGGAAUGCCACCUCUGCUCCUUAGCUCCACAACUUCAACGGAGGCAGAAAUAAAAUGAGGACACACAAACACUGCCCGAAGCAGUCUCGCCACACACGGGGCCUCUUCCAACAGUAGCCCUAAUGUUCCUGGUUCCAUGAGCUUCAGAUGAAACAGUAAGGAUGUUCUAAAGAACAGCAUGGACAGACUGCCUACCAUCUGUGGACUCUAUCGUCAUCGUGGGCCCCUUUCUGUGACUGUUGAGUGUGAGUCGAGGUGAAGAUGUGUGAAUUGCAGGUGCUAAAACUAAUUACUGCAUCACUGGAUCUGAGAUCUGUGUGGUUGGGGAUACACCACCACCGCCAUCACUGCCAUCACUGCCAUCACCGCCAUCACCAUCGUCUCAGCUGAACACUAAAGAGCUGCUUUUCUCAAGAAUGUCGGUGAGAGCUGUAAUAGGCUUCCAAAUGAAAAAGUCAAGUUCUGAGAAUUAGGUCAUCCAAAAUGGAACUCAGAACCCACACUCUAAAAAUAGACUGUUAUAGAAAGGAGCUCUCUAGAUGGCGUGUUUGAGGUGAAAAGCUGGAACUAAGGCCCUUGCAUACGGUCAGUCCCUCAGAUGUCCCACAGUCACUUGAAUCCUGAUGGUGAGCCCAGUGUGUCACCCCAGCUGGGCGGUGGCACCUGGAUAUUUGGUCAAACAUUAUGCUGGCUGUUGGAUCCAGAGUCACGAAAUAAUGGGGGACAGACCACCAAAGUCUAUUAAAUCAGAAGCAGACUUUAUUCCAGAAAAAAAAGAAAAAAAUAUUACCGAGGGGCACAAAAGCUUAUCAGCUACUGAGACCACAGCCAGAGUUGGAUUUUGAGGCUGUGGCCAUGGAGGCGGGUUCUGGUCCCCUUUUUAUAGUAAGGGGGAAAGCAUUAGGCAUGGAGUGCAUGCUAGAAGUCACGUAGAAACAUCUAUUAAAAAGUUAACUUUGGUCCGGGCAGUCGUUGGCUUAUGGGGCAAGGGGUUAAAAGUUAACCCCUGGCUGUUGACAGAGGAACCGGCUGUAAAGCAGACAGCCAUUGUUAGACAUUAACCUUUAAGCUGAUGAUUGUCGACUUUCCCCCCCUUAGGUUUAUAAUUUUAUAUGUCUAUAUUCCUGGACCCUUCACUGGCUAGUUCUGAGCAGGAUGUUUGGGGACCGUUAAUAGUUAAAACUGUGGACUGUGAGCACAGCAGGGUACCGUUCAUGUGGGGGGGGGGGGCUCAUCAGUCAAGGGCUCGGGCCUGAAAGAGGACGGAAUCCCACCAGCAAACCGCCAUGCGCUUGAACUGUAACCCUCUCUGCUCUCUGCCUGUCGGCAAACCUAGUUGGCACUGGUUUUGCCAGCCCUCCAAAAUCAUGUUGUCAGCUUCUUAAAUUCACUCCUCCUCCUGUCCUGCCGCUUCUUUCAUUUCCCCCUCUCUCCCUGCACACACAUACACACAUACACACACACACAUACACACACAUACACAUAUACACACAUAUACACAUAUAUGCACACACACAUACACAUACACACACACAUACACGUAUACACACAUACACGCAUAUACACACACAUAUACAUACACACACAUAGGCACACACACAUACACAUAUACACACACAUACACACACAUAUAUACAUACAUACACAUAUAUACACACAUAUAACAUACACAUACACACACAUACACCACACACACAUAUAUACACACACCUACAUAUACAUAACAUACACAUAAACACACAUACACCACACACAUACAUACAGACACACAUCCACACACACCUUUGUUCCAUUGGUCCUGUUUCUCUGGAGACUCUUGACUGAGAGCCAUGGUAAGUGAACACAUUUCUUUCCUCAUCACUGUGACCAAAGGCCUGAAACAGCUUAAGGGACAUGGAAGGCAGGGGUGUGAAGCUGCUUGCUCACGGCUCUGUGGAGCCGCCCAGCAGGGGCCUGAUGGGUUGUGCUGCUCUUUGCUACAUCAGGAGCCAUUAGGAGCAACUGAUGGUUACAAACCCCAGGCCAGCAGGGUGAGAACAAAAUGACUCAUGUAGAAAUGGCUGUACGGUUCAACAGAGCAGAGGACAGCCCACUGAGGGUGCUCCAAGUGGAAAUAACCUCAGAAGGACAGCAAGAAGAGUGUGUCUGUGUGUGCGGACCUCAAGUGUCACUCGGCAGGGGACAGAGAAGUAGGUUCUCUAAGCCAGACUUGGCAUCAUAGCAGGAAAGUUGAGCCUGAGCUGGAGGAAUGACAAUCACCACAAGAGCCUUAUGGGGACAUUAUCUCAGUUUACACUGUGGGAAGGUGUCUGCCGCUCACAGCACACACAGAUGACUCAAAGACAGACAAAGGAACCGUCAAGCGAGUUCCUCUCGGGAGUGAGCGAUCCACACGGAGUCACACAUCUGCCCAGCUUCCGAGGGAUGGGAGCCUCCUGGGGGACAUGGGCCGUCUGCUCCCUCUGCCUGGCUUACAGCUCUAACAGCUGUUGUCCCUCCUUCUUGUCUCAUUAGUGGCCACAACCCACUUUGGAUGGUAGGCACUUUCCACCCACCUGGACGGGAUGGCGGGUGCGGCUGCCUCACGUCUGACAAGGCUUGAAGGCAGCCAACCUUCUCCUGCUAUCAAAGAAAGGAGAGCCAGCGCGUGGGCCGCUAAAUAUUUGAGCUGUGGUGUGGGUUUGAACAAGAAUGGCCCCCAUAGGCUCAUAUAUUUGAAAGCUUAGUCACCAGGGAGUGGAACUCUUUGAUAGAAUUAGAAAGAUUAGGAGGUGUGGCCUUGAUGGAGGAAGUGUGUCACGAGGGGUGGGCUUUGAGGUUUUCAAAAGUCCACACCAGGCCCAGUACUUCUCCCUCACAUCCCCCUCCCCCAUGUAGCUCUCAGCUCCUGCUCCAGCCCCAGGCACGCUGCCGUACUUCCUACCAUGAUGACGAUGGACUGAACCUCUGAAACUGUAAGCCAGCCCCAAUUAAAUGGUUUCUCUGAUACUUGUUACCUUGGUGUCUCUUCAUAGCAAUAGAACAGUGAACCAAAGCUAACUGUGAAAGAGCAGAAAACAGAAACAGAAAGAAAGGGAGAGAUCGAUGCAGACCUGAAGACAGACUGUGCCGUGGAAGCAGGGGUGUGGGCUGGGACAUAGAGAGGUGCCAUCUGGGUGCCUGGUGGGGAAACGAGACACUCAGUUUGUGGUGGUGGCUGGUGAUGUUCUCUUCAUUAGAGAUAGCACAGACUUAGUCUGAGGGUCUCUCAGAUUAACAGUCACACCAGACCAGAAGACGUCUAGACCAGAAGACAUUCUGCAGUCUGAAUGGGAUGACCGUGGCAGCAGAGGCAGAAACAACACCUGCUCCCAACUCAGCAUGCGCAGGCUUGGCUGAUGGGUACAACCAGGUGGGCAACAGCCAUGAACCCAUGGUGACUUCAUCUCCACCGAGUCACCUUCAACCUGUGAGUCACGAUAACCCAGGGAGAGUCCUGCCAUAGAGCUCUGUCACUGUACCAGGACGUCUGCAGAAGGCUACUGAAAGGAGAGGCAUUUUCGCUCACAGUCCAGUGGACUCAGAUCACAGUCACUCGGUUCCAUUACUUUGAGCCUGACGGCAAGUGGGGUAUUGCUGUGGGAUGGUCUGUAUGUCAAAUGUGUUGCUGAUUGGUCAAUAAAUAAAUCACUGAUUGGCCCGUGGCCAGGCAGGAAGUAUAGGCGGGACAAGGAGGAGAAUAGAGCUGGGAAGUGGAAGGCUGAGAGAGAGAGACACUGCCAGCCGCCAUCAGGACAAGGAAGAUGUAAAGUACCGGUAAGCCACAAGCCACGUGGCAAGGUAUAGAUUAAUAGAAAUGGAUUAAUUUAAGCUGUAAGAACAGUUAGCAAGAAGCCUGCCACAGCCAUACAGUUUGAAACCAAUAUAAGUCUCUGUGUUUACUUGAUCGGGUUUGAGCGGCUUGGGACUGGCAGGUGAGAGAGAUUUGUCCUGACUGUGGGCCAGGCAAGAAAACUCAAGCUACAGGGUAUCAUGAUGGAGACAGUGUGGGGGAUUGAAGCUGCUCCCCAUGGUGACUGGGAAGGAGAGAGAGAGAGAGAGAGAGAGAGAGAGAGAGAGAGAGAGAGAGAGAGAGAGAGAGAGAGAAUAAGCACUCAUCAUAUGGGGCACAAGACACAGUCCCUAGAAACACACCUCAGUGUUCAAAGGACUUGACACUUCCUCUAGGCCCCAGCUCCUAAGUUCCCUCCCACCCCCUCCCAACCGUCCUCUGAACCAUGCACAUCAAUGGAGUCAUCCACUGCUGAGGCCAAAGCCCUUAUGGCAACCAUUGCCGACAGUUACCAGCCAACACUGACCUCUUAACACAUGGUCCUUGGGGCCAUUUAGCUCCAUCUGCCGGGAGCUGUUCCUGGAGACAGCCCCACCCUGUGCAGGCUUUACUUGGCUACCUCCCUGACUGAUACUCUAUGUAUCAGUUUCUUUUCUCAUCACCAUGACAGAACCUUUUGCUGUGGGAUGUUCUGUAUGUCAAAUGUGUUGCUGAUUAGUCAAUAAUUAAAACACUGAUUGGCCAUUGGCUAGGCAGGAAGUGUAGGCGGGACAAGGAGGAGAAUAAAGCUGGGAAGUGGAAGGCUGAGUGAGAGAGACACUGCCAGCCGCCACGAUGAGAAACAGCAUGUGAAGAUGCCGGUAAGCCACGAGCCAUGUACCAAGGUAUAGAUUUAUGGAAAUGGAUUAAUUUAAGCAGUAAGAACAGUUAGCAAGAAGCCUGCCACGGCCAUACAGUUUGAAACCAAUAUAAGUCUCUGUGUUUACUUGGUCGGGUUUGAGAGGCUGUGGGACUGGCAGGUGAGAGAGAUUUGCCCUGACUGUGGGCCAGGCAGGAAAACUCUACCUACAAAUGGUGUCCAACGUGGUGGCAAGAGUUUCCACCUAAAACCUGAGAAAAAAGAUUCUAAAAAGGAGCUAAAAACAGUUCCUAAUUGUCUCUCUCAAAUGAGCGGCAGCUGCUGGUUUGAGCUACUGGUGGGUUCCUGGAGUGUGCGCUCAACCUGCAGUAUGGCGGGAAUAAGACCUCUGCAAGUGGCACAUUAAGCUGCAUGGUGGAUUUAGCCUUUGCAGGUACAAAACAAAAAAAGAGGUUUCUGGACUACACGCUCUUUGGAUAAAAGCAUAGACCCACAUAGCUCCCAGAGCUGGUGGUAAAUGUAGCCAUGUUGGGAAGCUGAGGUGGGCGGAGCCAGCUGCCACAGCUGCUGCAGUUUAAAGCAACAGAUUCACAAUAAGACAGAUUCAGAUGUAAUAGUUUACAGUGUGUGUAAAAUAUACGUAGGCUUGAAAGAGACAAAAAAGGUGAUAUAUAAAGUUAUAUAAACAAAUACAUAGUUUUAAAAAUAAAGUCUUUAAAGAGACA
This is a long non-coding RNA of Peromyscus californicus insignis, 5557 nucleotides long. RefSeq lists it as uncharacterized. The transcript has 4 exons. The record is from RefSeq and is a predicted model, not a curated record. Lineage: Eukaryota; Metazoa; Chordata; Mammalia; Rodentia; Cricetidae.